RNAcentral lists this ribosomal RNA (463 nucleotides) under uncultured bacterium. RNAcentral describes it as "partial 16S ribosomal RNA". It matches the Rfam family "Bacterial small subunit ribosomal RNA", at positions 28 to 507 of the family's 1533-position model. The record is from RNAcentral.
GAUGAACGCUGACAGCAUGCUUAACACAUGCAAGUCGAGGGGGAAGUGGUGCUUGCUCCAUGGCAACCAUGGCGGACGGGUGAGUAACGCGUAAGGGACUUACCUGCAGGACUGGGAUAACAGGGGGAAACUCCUGACAAGACCGGAUAAUGUCAUGGAUCUGCAUGGCUUUUUGAUGAAAGGAGACGCCUGCGGAGAGCCUUGCGUCCGAUUAGCUAGUUGGUGAGGUAAUGGCUCACCAAGGCGAAGAUAGGUAGCCGGCCUGAGAGGGUGGACGGCCACAAGGGGACUGAGAUACGGCACUUACUACUCCGGGAGGCAGCAGUGGGGAAUAUUGGACCAUGGGGGCAACCCUGAUCAAGCAAUUCUGUGUGCACGAAGAAGGUUUUCGGAAUGUAAAGUGCUUUCAGCAGGGAAGAAGUAAGUGACGGUACCUAAAGAAGAAGCGACGGCUAAAUACGUG